RNAcentral lists this ribosomal RNA (467 nucleotides) under uncultured bacterium. RNAcentral describes it as "partial 16S ribosomal RNA". It matches the Rfam family "Bacterial small subunit ribosomal RNA", at positions 29 to 507 of the family's 1533-position model. The record is from RNAcentral.
ACGAACGCUGGCGGCGUGCUUAACCCAUGCAAGUCGAACGGAAAGGCCCUGCUUUUGUGGGGUGCUCGAGUGGCGAACGGGUGAGUAACACGUGAGUAACCUGCCCUUGACUUUGGGAUAACUUCAGGAAACUGGGGCUAAUACCGGAUAGGAGCUCCUGCUGCAUGGUGGGGGUUGGAAAGUUUCGGCGGUUGAGGAUGGACUCGCGGCUUAUCAGCUUGUUGGUGGGGUAGUGGCUUACCAAGGCUUUGACGGGUAGCCGGCCUGAGAGGGUGACCGGCCACAUUGGGACUGAGAUACGGCCCAGACUCCUACGGGAGGCAGCAGUGGGGAAUAUUGCACAAUGGGCGGAAGCCUGAUGCAGCAACGCCGCGUGCGGGAUGACGGCCUUCGGGUUGUAAACCGCUUUCGCCUGUGACGAAGCGUGAGUGACGGUAAUGGGUAAAGAAGCACCGGCUAACUACGUG